CCUACGGGGUGCAGCAGUGAGGAAUAUUGGUCAAUGGGCGCGAGCCUGAACCAGCCAAGUCGCGUGAGGGAAGACGGUCCUAUGGAUUGUAAACCUCUUUUGUCGGGGAGCAAAAGACGCCACGCGUGGCGUUCCGCGAGUACCCGAAGAAAAAGCAUCGGCAAACUCCGUGCCAGCAGCCGCGGUACUACGGAGGAUGCGAGCUUUAUCCGGAUUUAUUGGGUUUAAGGGGUGCGCAGGCGGAAGAUCAAGUCAGCGGUAAAAUUGAGAGGCUCAACCUCUUCGAGCCGUUGAAACUGGCGUUCUUGAGUGGGCGAGAGGUAUGCGGAAUGCGUGGUGUAGCGGUGAAAUGCAUAGAUAUCACGCAGAACUCCGAUUGCGAAGGCAGCAUACCGGCGCCCAACUGACGCUGAAGCACGAAAGCGUGGGUAUCGAACAGGAUUAGAUACCCCAGUAGUC
RNAcentral lists this ribosomal RNA (459 nucleotides) under uncultured bacterium. RNAcentral's name for it is "partial 16S ribosomal RNA". It matches the Rfam family "Bacterial small subunit ribosomal RNA", at positions 338 to 795 of the family's 1533-position model. The record is from RNAcentral.